UAGAUGGGAGCUUGCUCCCUGAUAUUAGCGGCGGACGGGUGAGUAACACGUGGGCAACCUACCUGUAAGACUGGGAUAACUUCGGGAAACCGGAGCUAAUACCGGAUAAUUUCUUUUCUCGCAUGAGAAGAGAUGGAAAGACGGUUUCGGCUGUCACUUACAGAUGGGCCCGCGGCGCAUUAGCUAGUUGGUGAGGUAAUGGCUCACCAAGGCCACGAUGCGUAGCCGACCUGAGAGGGUGAUCGGCCACACUGGGACUGAGACACGGCCCAGACUCCUACGGGAGGCAGCAGUAGGGAAUCUUCCGCAAUGGACGAAAGUCUGACGGAGCAACGCCGCGUGAGCGAAGAAGGCCUUCGGGUCGUAAAGCUCUGUUGUUAGGGAAGAACAAGUACCAGAGUAACUGCUGGUACCUUGACGGUACCUAACCAGAAAGCCACGGCUAACUACGUGCCAGCAGCCGCGGUAAUACGUAGGUGGCAAGCGUUGUCCGGAAUUAUUGGGCGUAAAGCGCGCGCAGGUGGUUCUUUAAGUCUGAUGUGAAAGCCCACGGCUCAACCGUGGAGGGUCAUUGGAAACUGGGGAACUUGAGUGCAGAAGAGGAAAGUGGAAUUCCACGUGUAGCGGUGAAAUGCGUAGAGAUGUGGAGGAACACCAGUGGCGAAGGCGACUUUCUGGUCUGUAACUGACACUGAGGCGCGAAAGCGUGGGGAGCGAACAGGAUUAGAUACCCUGGUAGUCCACGCCGUAAACGAUGAGUGCUAAGUGUUAGAGGGUUUCCGCCCUUUAGUGCUGCAGCUAACGCAUUAAGCACU
Molecule: ribosomal RNA, 815 nt
Filed under: uncultured Bacillus sp.
Lineage: Bacteria; Bacillati; Bacillota; Bacilli; Caryophanales; Bacillaceae
Description: bacterial SSU rRNA
Rfam family: Bacterial small subunit ribosomal RNA
Source: RNAcentral